Molecule: ribosomal RNA, 333 nt
Filed under: uncultured Glomeromycotina
Lineage: Eukaryota; Fungi; Glomeromycota
Description: eukaryotic LSU rRNA
Source: RNAcentral
UAUCAGCCUUUUGGGCAUGAUUCUGUGGGGCGUGAGGAGUUAAACGCCUUCAUGCCUGCAUAUUCGUGUACUUUGGGUGUACUUGCCUGUGUGGUUAGUUAACAUCAAUUUUGGUUAUCAUAAAAUGGUUGGAGGAAUGUAGCUUCGAUUUCGAUUGAAGUGUUAUAGCCUUCGGCAGAUGUGAUGAUCGGGAUUGAGGAUUGCAACGGAUACCCUUCGGGGCUACCUGUCUGGUCUCUGAUCGUUGCUCUGGUGCCGAAAGCGUGCUUACGGUUAUCAAAGUCGAUGGUCAAUAGGUUAGAACGGGUUAAAUUCGUUAAGGAUGUUGACGUA